CGGGGGAGGCCGGAUCCUGGGCUGUGUCCCGGCGCGCUGUGCUCCCGGUCUGCGCUGAUGGAUUCGCGCUCCCGCCCCGCAGCCCCCU
This 88-nucleotide microRNA precursor is filed under the name Canis lupus familiaris (dog). RNAcentral describes it as "mir-8799 microRNA precursor family". It matches the Rfam family "mir-8799 microRNA precursor family". Lineage: Eukaryota; Metazoa; Chordata; Mammalia; Carnivora; Canidae. The record is from Rfam by way of RNAcentral.